Molecule: ribosomal RNA, 253 nt
Filed under: uncultured bacterium
Lineage: Bacteria
Description: partial 16S ribosomal RNA
Rfam family: Bacterial small subunit ribosomal RNA
Source: RNAcentral
UACGGAGGGGGCUAGCGUUGUUCGGAAUUACUGGGCGUAAAGCGCGCGUAGGCGGACCUGCAAGUCGGGGGUGAAAGCCCGAGGCUCAACCUCGGAACUGCCUUUGAUACUGGCGGUCUCGAGGCUGGGAGAGGUGAGUGGAAUUCCGAGUGUAGAGGUGAAAUUCGUAGAUAUUCGGAAGAACACCAGUGGCGAAGGCGGCCAACUGGCCCGUUACUGACGCUGAGGUGCGAAAGCGUGGGGAGCAAACAGG